Bison bison bison is the source of this 109-nucleotide small nucleolar RNA. The record is from Ensembl. NCBI's taxonomy places the organism in Eukaryota, Metazoa, Chordata, Mammalia, Artiodactyla, Bovidae.
CACCACCUUCAAGAUAUAUGCAAAAUUAACAUGGCUACAUUGAGAACACAGGUUUUGCUUCCAUCAUUGUAAUUCUAUUGCAGUGGUGACAAUGAGACCUGUAACUUUU